GGAGAGGUGCCGGAGCUGGUUUAUCGGGACGGUCUCGAAAAUCGUUUUCGCCUUUGGUGAACGGGGGUUCGAAUCCCCCCCUCUCCGCCA
RNAcentral lists this transfer RNA (90 nucleotides) under bacterium. RNAcentral's name for it is "tRNA-Ser". It matches the Rfam family "tRNA". Rfam says of the family: Transfer RNA (tRNA) molecules are approximately 80 nucleotides in length. The record is from RNAcentral.